GACAUGGUAGUUAUAGUGCACGGAGGUAUCAUCGAUACUUGAGGCAUAGACAGAGGGCAAAAUUCCAGCGUGAUCUCCGUCUAUGUAUCCUGGAUGUUGGGGAUGACAAAGUAGUUAGAUGUUGAGAUUCAAAGGCAUAUCCACAAGCUAUAUCGAAGUAUGUAACACCAGAUAAAUAAAGUUAUGUUGAGCACAUUGUUUAUAUGUAUCAAACAAUACAUAAGAAACUAAUACUGAGCCAGCAUGAUAUAAGUACAAAUACAGAGUAAGUAAAGGAUGACAAUUGCAUGUAAGGCAAGCAAGGUCCGAGCCGUGAAUAUAAGAUUACUACAUAUGAAAUGAUUUUUGAAACUGUCUUACAUUUGACCUGUCCAUUUAGUCUUUGACUGAGACUUUGUUUUCUUGUUGGGCCUGUGAUCCGGUUCACUGGGAAAACAACAAACAUGAGUAACGCAUAUAGCUGCACGAUUCUGAAGAGCAAGAGGGAGGGCAUGUUACUUGUCGGAUGCUUCUUCGGUUGGUGGAAGCGAGCUGGUGGCGUCGUUCAGGCCAUCCUAGAUGUCAGUGGCCAGCUGUAUGUAAGACGACAUUUGGUCUUGUCAGGAUGCAAACGGAAAGCAGAACAAUAGUGUGAUUACCUCUAAUUCGUUUACACAUUUGGGUGCUGGAGUGUUAUCAUCGUCACUUUCUGA
RNAcentral lists this long non-coding RNA (692 nucleotides) under Triticum aestivum (bread wheat). Its description in RNAcentral is "long non-coding RNA (TAES_LNC016557)". Lineage: Eukaryota; Viridiplantae; Streptophyta; Magnoliopsida; Poales; Poaceae. The record is from RNAcentral.